RNAcentral lists this ribosomal RNA (253 nucleotides) under Duodenibacillus massiliensis. RNAcentral's name for it is "partial 16S ribosomal RNA". It matches the Rfam family "Bacterial small subunit ribosomal RNA", at positions 524 to 776 of the family's 1533-position model. The record is from RNAcentral. Lineage: Bacteria; Pseudomonadati; Pseudomonadota; Betaproteobacteria; Burkholderiales; Sutterellaceae.
UACGUAGGGUGCGAGCGUUAAUCGGAAUUACUGGGCGUAAAGCGUGCGCAGGCGGUUGGGUAAGACAGAUGUGAAAUCCCCGGGCUUAACCUGGGAACUGCAUUUGUGACUGUCCGACUGGAGUAUGUCAGAGGGGGGUGGAAUUCCAAGUGUAGCAGUGAAAUGCGUAGAUAUUUGGAAGAACACCGGUGGCGAAGGCAGCCCCCUGGGGCAAAACUGACGCUCAUGCACGAAAGCGUGGGGAGCAAACAGG